AAGGAUCAUUACAGUAUGGAUUAAGGGGUUGGAUGCUGGCCCCCUUACGAGGGCAUGUGCGCACCUCUGCUUCUAAUCUUUCCAUGUUAUAAACACCCGUGCACCUAUUGGUGAGCGCCUCUCCGUUCGGAAGGCGUUCCCUUUUUUCUUCUUAUCACACCUCAGCCUGUUUUAAAAUGCAUGUUUGAACGAGCUCUACGGAGCAGAUGGAAAGCAGCGAUAACUUUCAACAACGGAUCUCUUGGCUUUUGCAUCGAUGAAGAACGCCGCGAAAGCGCGAAACGUAAUGUGAAUUGCAGAAUUCAGUGAAUCAUCGAAUCUUUGAACGCAUCUUGCGCUCCUUGGUAUUCCGAGGAGCAUGCCUGUUUGAGUGUCGUGAAUUCCUUCAAACCAGUCCUUUUGUCGGGAAAGGGUUUGGAUUUGGACGCUUGCCGGGGCUGGCUUUUGCCUGUCGGCUCGUCUUUAAUGCAUUGGUUGGCCUUUCCCUGAAGUCGGUUCGAUCGACGGCGUGAUAUGCUUUAUCGUCGACGUUCGAGCCAUGACGAGGCUUUAUUUGUGGGGGGGAGCCAGCCUAGCUGUUUACAGCAUCUUUGGAACACGUUU
Molecule: ribosomal RNA, 603 nt
Filed under: Ramaria sandaracina var. sandaracina
Lineage: Eukaryota; Fungi; Basidiomycota; Agaricomycetes; Gomphales; Gomphaceae
Description: eukaryotic LSU rRNA
Rfam family: 5.8S ribosomal RNA (bases 222-376)
Source: RNAcentral